RNAcentral lists this ribosomal RNA (254 nucleotides) under uncultured bacterium. RNAcentral's name for it is "partial 16S ribosomal RNA". It matches the Rfam family "Bacterial small subunit ribosomal RNA", at positions 524 to 776 of the family's 1533-position model. The record is from RNAcentral.
UACGAAGGGGGCUAGCGUUGUUCGGAAUACUGGGCGUAAGCGCGCGCAGGCGGUCUUCCAAGUCAGUGGUGAAAGCCCGGAGCUCAACUCCGGAACUGCCAUUGAAACUGUUAGACUUGAGGAUGAGAGAGGUGAGUGGAAUUCCCAGUGUAGAGGUGAAAUUCGUGAGAUAGUUGGGAAGGACACCGGUGGCGAAGGCGGCUCACUGGCUCAUUACUGACGCUCGAGGCGCGAUAGCGUGGGGAUCAAACAGG